Molecule: long non-coding RNA, 574 nt
Filed under: Mytilus galloprovincialis (Mediterranean mussel)
Lineage: Eukaryota; Metazoa; Mollusca; Bivalvia; Mytilida; Mytilidae
Source: RNAcentral
GGUUUUUGAGUUAUAAGCCAAAAACUGCAUUUUACCCCUAUGUUCUAUUUUUAGCCGUGGCGGCCAUCUUGGUUAGUUGACCGGUGUCAUAUGGUAUUUUGAACCCCCUAAAAAGUGAACCCGGGGUCAAAAUACCAUGCGGUAAAAUGACCCGGGGUCAUUAUACCGCAUGGUAUUUUGACCCCGGGGUCAUUUUUCACAUAUGGUAUUUUGAACCCCCCUGCGGUAUAUUGAACCCCCCUGUUUUUGAUAAAUAGUAUUGCAGAUAAUCUAAUUUACAAUUUAUUGGCUAUCAUUUUUUUAAAUUUGUGGUUUUAAGUAGGGUGUUCAAUAUACCGCAGGGGGGUCAAAAUACCAUGGCUAAGCAAAAUUUUCAAAAUAUCUUUUCCAGCAUGUUUAACACAUACAAACCACUUAUUGGAGUAUUAUAACUAUGUUAAGGAGUUAGAAUAGCUUGAAUUUUUGAAAUUCAAGGUCUACAGUAGGGGGUUCAAUAUACCGCAGGGGGUCAAAAUACCAUGGCUAAGUAAAAUUUUCAAAAUAUCUUUUCCAGUAUAUUAAAUACAUACAAACU